Molecule: ribosomal RNA, 487 nt
Filed under: Streptococcus sp. oral taxon 066
Lineage: Bacteria; Bacillati; Bacillota; Bacilli; Lactobacillales; Streptococcaceae
Description: bacterial SSU rRNA
Rfam family: Bacterial small subunit ribosomal RNA
Source: RNAcentral
GAUGAACGCUGGCGGCGUGCCUAAUACAUGCAAGUAGAACGCUGAAGCUUGGUGCUCGCACCGAGCGGAUGAGUUGCGAACGGGUGAGUAACGCGUAGGUAACCUGCCUGGUAGCGGGGGAUAACUAUUGGAAACGAUAGCUAAUACCGCAUAACAGUCGACAUUGCAUGAUGUUGAUUUGAAAGGGGCAAUUGCUCCACUACCAGAUGGACCUGCGUUGUAUUAGCUAGUUGGUGAGGUAACGGCUCACCAAGGCGACGAUACAUAGCCGACCUGAGAGGGUGAUCGGCCACACUGGGACUGAGACACGGCCCAGACUCCUACGGGAGGCAGCAGUAGGGAAUCUUCGGCAAUGGACGGAAGUCUGACCGAGCAACGCCGCGUGAGUGAAGAAGGUUUUCGGAUCGUAAAGCUCUGUUGUAAGAGAAGAACGAGUGUGAGAGUGGAAAGUUCACACUGUGACGGUAACUUACCAGAAAGGGACGGC